AUUGAACGCUGGCGGCAUGCCUUACACAUGCAAGUCGAACGGCAGCACGGGUGCUUGCACCUGGUGGCGAGUGGCGAACGGGUGAGUAAUAUAUCGGAACGUACCUUAUUGUGGGGGAUAACGCAGCGAAAGCUGUGCUAAUACCGCAUAAUCCCUAAGGGGGAAAGCGGGGGACCGUAAGGCCUCGCGCAAUUAGAGCGGCCGAUACCUGAUUAGCUAGUUGGUGAGGUAAAGGCCCACCAAGGCAACGAUCAGUAGCUGGUCUGAGAGGACGAUCGGCCCCACUGGGACUGAGAAACGGCCCAGACUCCUAGGGGAGGCAGCAGUGGGGAAUUUUGGACAAUGGGGGAAACCCUGAUCCAGCAAUGCCGCGUGGGUGAAGAAGGCCUUCGGGUUGUAAAGCUCUUUUGUCAGGGAAGAAACAGCAGCUCUAACACAGUAUGCGAAUGACGGUACCUGAAGAAUAAGCACCGGCUAACUACGUGCCAGCCGCCGCCGUAA
This 501-nucleotide ribosomal RNA is filed under the name uncultured bacterium. Its description in RNAcentral is "partial 16S ribosomal RNA". It matches the Rfam family "Bacterial small subunit ribosomal RNA", at positions 30 to 523 of the family's 1533-position model. The record is from RNAcentral.